Tyto alba (common barn owl) is the source of this 1586-nucleotide long non-coding RNA. RefSeq lists it as uncharacterized. NCBI's taxonomy places the organism in Eukaryota, Metazoa, Chordata, Aves, Strigiformes, Tytonidae. The record is from RefSeq and is a predicted model, not a curated record. The transcript is spliced from 2 exons.
GCUGUGCACCGGGUGAUAAAGGGCGGCAGGAGCCCCUCUGCUGCUCGGUGCAGCCCACCUGUGGGACCAGCCUCGCCUCCCGUGGGGAAGCCGGAGGAGAAGGGAAGCCUUGCUGGAAACCACCACGGCACUUCCUCCUCCCCGUGACCCCGCUCUGCUCCCCCGGAGAUGCUGCUACCAGCUUCCCCCCCCCGGGGUUCAGACUUCCAACAGCAAAGCGCUUGCCCCCUCAUAUUUGGGAUUGAUUCAGCGCUCUGCCACGUGAGACUGCGACUCAGCCCGAGCUCACGGGGAGCACCCAGCCACAAAACUUCAUCAGGGGAGCAGCGGCGCUGGCCUUGCACCCCGGUUACCCAGAGGUGCCCCUCGUGCCCUCAGCUAAAACAUCCCACCUGGAGCGAUGCAAGGAGCACAUUCCAAUUUCUUUUUCUUUGCCUUCCCGCGCUCUCCUGCCAGCUGCAGCCUCCCAGGCCUGUGUUUCUGGUGCAAACGCAGGGAAAGCGCUGAAGCCCUUUGCAAUGCCGGCUGCAAAGCGCUCGCCCGCUCCCACCCGCACACCGCAGCGUGCCACGGCGGUGAGCGCUCUCAUCCUGAGCAUUCCAGGCUACUUGUCUAUACUUUUGAUGCCAACAAGCUGCCGGUCAACUCAUGCGAAGCCGCAGCCUCUUUGGAAGAAGCACGGCACAGCGCUUGAGGCAUGAUCUCUAAACUGGAAAUGUGGCAGCCACCAGAAGAUUGUGCGGGCCAAAAUCUGGAGGGAUGAGAGAGGAACUGAGCCCCAGACUGUAUCUGCAAGAGGAGAGUUUGGGAGGGUGCUGCUCAUUUCUGCACGCUGACCUGCUGUGGUUGGGGAAAGGCGAUGGCCAUCCAGCUUUGUUGGAUGCACAGGAUCCGCUCUUCAUUUUUGAAGGUGGGAAAAACAUUCAAAAGGGAAACGAUUUUCUGUUUCAGGCAGCUCAUCCGUGCCAAAGCCAUGUGUUGUUGCGCUCCCAUUGAUAUGCUGAUGCUUAAUUUGUAAGUGCCUUCUCCAAUACUCUGCGACUGCCUCCCGUUGGCUUCCCCCCCCCUGUGUUUACAGCAUCAGAGCGAAACAUAUAAUUUCAGCUCGCUGAAGUGCCGGUUCACGUGGCAGGCAGCUGAAUCCUCCUGCCCACGGCUUCUGGGCACCGCGGCCGCGAGGAGCUCAGCCGCUCGAGGCCUUGGCAGAAGCUCCCUUACGAUUUUUUAUAAAUAAUCCCUGAAGUUGCAUGUGUCUGUUGCUUCUUCGAAGCGGCAGAGAAGUGACUGGUGUUGUGAGGGGGUGGAUUUCUUACGCUGGAGACUGUCAGAGGUGUUCAGGUAGGUUGAAAGAGGAGAUUAAAAGAAAAGCAGCUGAGAAAUGGAGAGGACCAAAAAAAAAAAGAGGAUGGAAAAGGACAUCUGUUAAUUUGAAAGUCUAAUUAAAUUGAGAUGGGUUCAGGUCCUGUUUUCCUUGUUCCCUUUGAGAAUUGCUGCUUAGGUCAAGCUCGUACUGCCCCGUUUAUUGGCAUUUUUUCCCUUUCCAUUAUGGCACGUGGUAUCAAAAUUAAAGAGUAGCAGAGAGGUUU